Nanorana parkeri is the source of this 130-nucleotide long non-coding RNA. RefSeq lists it as uncharacterized. The transcript is spliced from 4 exons. The record is from RefSeq and is a predicted model, not a curated record. NCBI's taxonomy places the organism in Eukaryota, Metazoa, Chordata, Amphibia, Anura, Dicroglossidae.
UAAGGGAAAGAAGGGACAAAGACCAAAGAUGUUCACAUUGAAGAAGUCCCUGUUCCUGGUUUUCUUUCUGGGGAUGGUCUCCUUAUCUCUCUGCAGGCAUGAGAGCCACGCCGAUAAAGAGACCAGCAAU